Molecule: long non-coding RNA, 7061 nt
Filed under: Musa acuminata (dwarf banana)
Lineage: Eukaryota; Viridiplantae; Streptophyta; Magnoliopsida; Zingiberales; Musaceae
Description: long non-coding RNA (MACU_LNC005058)
Source: RNAcentral
CAUCCCCUCCUUCGGUCUCCGCCCGUCCGUCCGCUCCUUCAACGCCCUCCUGAACGCUAUGGUCCAGAAUCGCCGGCUCGACCUCGUCGCCCUCCUCUUCCGCAACUGUCGCUCUAAGUUUGGGAUCAUCCCCAACGUCUGCACCUGCAACAUCCUCCUCAAGGCCCUCUGCAAGCUUGGCGAUGUACGCCGCGCCCUCCGCGUCCUUGAUGACAUGCCCGGAUGGGGCAUUGUCCCCAACGUUGUCUCCUACACCACAAUUCUCGCCUUCUACUGUGUCAAGGGCGACCUGCCCGCCGCCCGGGAGCUCUUUGAUCGGAUAAUUGCCCGUGGCUGGACCCCAGAUGUCACCACGUACACUGUCCUCAUCGACGGAUACUGCCGCCAGGGCCGCCUCGUCGAUGCCACCAAAUUGAUGGAUGAGAUGGAGGCUGCAGGUAUCACCUCAAACGACAUCACCUAUUCUGUUGUGAUCGAGGCAUGCUGCAAGGAUAAAAGGUCAGGAGAAGCAUUGAAUUUACUCGAUGACAUGCUGCAAGGGAAGUACAUACCAAGCUCAUCAUUGUGCUGUAAGGUGAUUGACACAUUGUGCGAGGAUGGAAAGGUGGAAGAUGCUUGUUGGAUGUGGAGGAAGCUUUUGAAGAAGAACGUCACUCCUGAUAAUUCCAUCUCCAGCACACUCAUUUAUUGGCUAUGCAAGGAAGGGAAGGUCUUGGAGGCAAGGAAGCUAUUCGACGAGUUUGAGAGGCGGUUUAUCCCGAGCUUACUGACGUAUAACACUCUCAUUUCUGGAAUGUGUGAGAACGGGGAGCUGCAGGAGGCAGGGAGGUUAUGGGAUGACAUGGUCGAGAGGAGAUGUUCACCUAAUGUGUUCACCUACAACAUGCUUAUAAAAGGGUUUUGCAAAGCACGGAACGUAAGGGAGGGGGUUAGGAUCUUGGAUGAAAUGUUGGAGAAAGGAUGCCUGCCAAAUAAGUCCACAUUUGGAAUGUUGGUUGAUGGACUUCCUGAUUCUGGUGAUGAGGAAGAACUUGAUAGGAUUCUUCAAAUUGUCGAUUCAAGUAGAAGAAAUGUUUUUGAUGAGGAUGUUUGGGAUAUAUUUGUAAGGAAAGUUGUCACUGGUUCUGAGAAUGUCAGAGAGCAUAUUUCUGCAGUACUGAAGACAUAAUCAUUGAAUCGGGCCGUUAUCUUUUCUUUGAAAAGCUUUAGGUGGCAUUCUAUUUUGUGGCCAAACAUGAGGAAAUGUUUCAGUUGGUAACACAAAUUUGAUGUAGAAAGGGGUAUCUGAAGACAUUAGAUCAUGGCAGUAUGCUAGAUUUCUUCAUAAUCUGUCAAUUCGAGUCAACAAUAGUCAUGAAAGAUCCCAUGAGGAGCCAUCUUCUGGAAUGGUACCCAUCACUGUGGAGAUUUCUUCCCAGCAGACAUUCGAUCGGACCAUGAUCAAGAGGUGAUUCAUGGAUGGGAAUAUGACUUGCCUCUGACCUUGACCAUUCUCAAUAUUGGGUUCUUUCAGCCUAACAUCAUGUUUAAGAAGUUCAUUUAGUGGAAAGAGUGGAAAUACAUCAUAAAUACCUCUUCAAUAAAAUCUUUGGUUUGGGCUAUUAGGAGUUGCUAAGUAGCUUGUCCCAGCUGCAGGAGCUCUGUGAGGAGAAAUAUGGUGAUGGAGGAUUACUUGUUGCUUGGAAGUACUAGUUCAGACAUAAGGGAACAUGACUUGUGGCUUCUUCAAUUAUUGGCAAAAGAUAGUGAUGACAACAAUAUAAACUUUUGUUAAUUAUAACUCUGUGAUUUUCCUUUUAAUACUUAAUACAAUAUGACAGUACUGGGUAGGCUGGAUGUCGAGAUGCCUCUUUUCCUUUUGUUUCAGUAAGCAUUUCUCCUAUGUAUUGUACAUAUAUACUGAUAAUGGCUGCUAGUUAGGUGGUAGCAGCUCUUGAGGUCAUGUAGAAUAAAUUUUUUUGACAGUUUGAGAAACGCAAAAGUGAAAAUGCUGCUGAAUCCAUUGUGAAAUCUCUUGAAUGAUGUUGGAGCUAUUAAAAAAGGUAAAUUUUGUUGCAGUAUUGGUAAGGUACAAUGACUGUAUUUCUUUGUUAGUGACAAUUUCAAACGGGGACAACAGCCAAGAUGUUAUUGAUGCUAGAGAGCUUUUGGAGGAUCUUAUGUUUAUAAAGGAGAGCUAUGCAGAUGGAAAAGGUUAAUUAUUUUGACCACUGAUCCAAUGUCUCAACUCAGGUGCUUUUUUCUUAUAUCCUUUUCUGGCUAAAUUAGCCUUAAUAAUAUUAUUAUUUUUUACUUCUUUAAGCGGACUCUUUCAUCUAGGAAAGAAUGGUUAUGACACAAUUUUGUUCCUGUUCCAAUAAUACUUCUGCAUGCAUAUUAUUUUUUGUGUGAUAAGGUUACUACUGUGCUUGAAUCAGCGAUUUAUUUGUUGCCUUUGUAUUGAGUUCAGAUGAAAUAUAAAUUGAUUUUUUAAAGUGCCAGAAUAGUUCUUUAUCGUCUUUUUUGGAACUUAAGACAGUCAAUUUGUUCGGAUGAUAUUGCAUGGCAACUAUGCGCUAUUAUUCUGUGCCUUAGUUUUAUGCCAGAUUAGAAAUGUUGUUUGAGUCCUCUGUCUUGUUAAGAUUCAGAAGCUCUUUUAGUACCUUGAGCUUAUAUUUGAGGAAGAGGUUGGCCAGGGUAUGAAAUUCCCAUCAAUGUGGAGUUCGAGGAGGGCUAACUAUUCCCAUGAGCAGAGUCUAACUCCAUAGUUGAAUUCUGUUCACCCAAGUCAUAUAAGAGCAAUCCUAGCAUCACACCAAUUAAAGAAUUUUCAGAAGAGCAGGGUCAUCAUGGAUGGCCACACAAGAAGUCAGGAUUAUAGUGUGCUUUGGUUCUCUCUGUUUGACUGUAUAUAUGCACAUUUUGGUGGAGCAUUGUCUAGAAAAGGAGUCUGAAUAAGAUUUAACAAUGUUGCUCCUAACUCUGUAAUCAUGCUAAGGUCUGUUUUAUUGGCAUUUUAUUGCCAAAACAUAUAUGAAACCAACAUAGACUCUUGAUUUCACAGCUAUACACAUUGUUUUUUUUUUACUUUAUUGUUAAUUUUGUAGCAUCAUUAGAAAAAUUGUCAUUAUUUUCUAACUGCAUCAAAUUUGAAGAAUGCUAUUAGAAAUGGAAGCUAUGAGUAGCAUCUUCUAUACUGAUUCAUUCCAUUUGUUGUUUUGAAUAUUUUGUACAAAUGUCUGUAGAUUAUUAUUUUGUGUUUAGUUGGUUUAUAUUUAAUUAAGUGAUAUACUAUUUCUUAAAUGAUGUAAACCAUAUUAAAUACUGUAUUAGCAACACAUACAUCCAGCUUAUAUUAAGGUGCUUUCAAAUAUUUAGUAAAAUUUUCAAAAUAUAAUCUCAUUUUCAGAUUUUUUUUGUUUGCAUAUUUUGAUUAUAAAAUGUGUCAAGAUACAGUCAAUUUUUUUAAAAAAUAAUAUUUAAUUAUAUUAUGGUGUGAAAAGUAUUAUAGGAAAUGACUCACUUUGGUUGUAUAUUUCUCUAAAAGUGGUAUAACUGGUCUGUAUUUUUUAAAUUGAUUUGUAUUAAAUAGUUGUUAUUUAGCAAUAUAUAUAUAUAUAAUUUGUAAAAAAUGAUUUCCUAAUUAAAUCAUUUUAGGUCUUGAAAAGUUUAAAAUAUCAUCUGCUGUUCAUUUAUAAUAAAAGAUUUAUGUGUUUUGAUUGAUUCACUUAUUCAACCAAUGAAUCAAUGAAGCAAGAAUCUACGAGUCCCUUGAGUUUGUCCCUAUGAUGAGAAAAGUCUACUCGAGUUGCUAUCGAUAGAAAAAAUUCAAGCUACGACUAUAAUUUGUAGAGUUUAGUUAGAUAAAAGCUAAAGAGAGCACCUUUCGUGAAGUAUUCGAAUAUUGAAAAUAAUAUAUAUCGUAUACUGAAAUUUAAUGGGUAAAAUAUGUUGCUUUUCCACAGAUAUAUAGAAUUUUCUUUAUUUUUGGAUCCCGCGUCUGAUGUAUGGGAUCCUCACAUGGAUUUCGUCGUCGUUGGGUCAACAUAAAUAAUUCUUGAUAUAUAUUUCUCUAUAUAUAUAUAUAUCAUAAUUCGAAAUUUAUAUUGAUAUUAUUUUUAUUUUUAUUUCCUAACAUUGAAGUAUUUGUGGAUGGCAGUUUGGCGAAUAUCGACAAGGUUUGGGUCAGUUUAUCAAAGGGAUCUUUAUAUAGUUGUUAGACUCACCGUUUCGGCUAGGGUUUAGGCUUGUGUCUUUUGGUUUCUUCCUCCCUCACCUGCCGCAGUUUUUGUUUCUUCGUUUCUCCGUCGGAUCUAAUUUCAUUUUCUGAAGAGCCAGAUUUUGAUCUUCACAUUCUAUCUUUGAUUCCAUUCUUGUUCUAAAAGUAAAGAAAAUUGUUUUUGUGGUUAUGGCAUACUUGUUUACGUAUUUAUCUAGACAUUUUAGGAUCCAUUUACAAAUGGAUUUCGUGAAUAGGUUCCACUAGAUUUGAUGUGGUUUUGAUUCUUUUCUCUCGCUUCUUAUACAUUUUCGUUGAUGUGGCUCUUGCUCUUCUUUUGUCAUAAAAAAUAAAGAAAAACAUGUUAUUUUGCUUGGUUAUUGCUUGAUUUGUUUGUGUGUUUAUCUACAAGUUUUGCGAUUCAUCACUCAAUGGAUUCUUCGAAUAAGUUUUAAUGGAUUCUGUUGAUGUGACUUUCGAUUCUUUUUGCUAAUAUCUUUUUUCCAUUUCUAUUGAUGCCCGAUGAUGGAAAAUCUAAUAAUCUUUAGAGGCUUGUGGGUUUUCAGUGUUGAGCAUCGACGCAUGCCGCUUCGUCACCUCAUUGUUUUUGUUGACGAUGAUCGUUAUCAUCAUCAUCAUCAUCAUCUCCUUCUUCUUCUUCUUCUCCUCUUUUUCCCUUUAUGCGUGCGUGCGAAGGUGCUCCAUAUGAAAAGCCAUACAUUGAGCCAGUGAAUGCAAAAAGCUAUGAGAUCUGAGGGCUAUUAAGCACCUAAAUGAUUUUUUUACAUUAGAAAAGAUUAUUUCUGGGAAAAUUGUAGUGCUGCCUGUUGUACUUUAAUUUCAGCAAGGUCUGCUUCUUUUUCAAGCAAACUGCUCUGAAAAUGACAGUAUGAUUUGUAAUAUGCGUUAGGCAGUCCGAUCAUGGCUUUACCUGUUCUCUCGUUUGUUUGUCUGAGGCAGCUUCUGGAUCGCUAUUGUAUCCCUUUGUUCUUAUCCUGUUACUAGCAUUGACGUCGGAUUGGUAAGAACAUGACUGCUCUGUUCCUCUUAUAACAUUCAUACUCUAUUUAGAUUCAUUUGCUUUAUCAACAACUUUAUUGUUUGGAGCCAUGACAUUUUAAUUGGUGUUAUUUUUAUAGUACUUGAUUAAUCAUAAGGUGAUUAAACUCACGACAGAUUAUGCAUCAGACAAUGUUGAUGUUCAAUUCUACAUUUAUGUUUGACACAUGGUCAUGCUUUAUAACAACUUUUUCUUGCUUGAAUGUUUUAUUAAUAUGCUUCUUGUUUAGCUCAGUAAAUCACUAUGAUCACUUUUGUGUAUGAAGUGCUCUAUGCAAACACUUCAAUCUUUGCUCUGUUAUCAGUGUCAAUAUUCAACCAUCAGUCUGCGCUAACCAAUGUCGUGAUACUAUGGGCCAAUUAGUGCCCCACUGUGUCAACAUUCAAGUAUGAUAAGGUUAGCUGAGUGAUUUAUGCUGUUCACUAGUUUGGUGAUGCAUGAUAUACCUGAAUUCAAUAGCAGUUUUAUGAAUGAUUAGUUGGUGUUUGUUGAUUAUUUACCAUGAUACUGUUUUUUUGUUUGUGCCAUGUUGGAAAUUUUACGAGGCCCAAUGAUGGAAACCAAUUAAUUUUGAGCUGCUACAUGGCUAUUUCUUUUGAGCAUUAUUCUACAUGCUUUCAUCUUGUCAUCACCACCACCACCACCAUCGUUGCCACCACCAUCUCCACCUCCCUGUCCAUCACUGCUGCCAUUACUAUCAUAAUCAUCAUCGCCAAUUCAUUGUCAUUUAUGCAUGUGAAAUGCUCAUCAAGAAAUACCAUGACUUGAGCUGCCAUGAACUUUUAUAGCUAUGAGAUCUGAGGGCCUCAACGAUGUUAGUGUUUGAAUUUUAUUAUAUAAGAAUCCUGAGUAUCCUAGCUGAAGAAUCCAUGGACCUUGUGGCACCUCUCUCUAUAGGGAGCCUUCUGGGGUCAUCACCAUGGAUGUCGCUAGAGUCUAAUGCGAGUAUUAGGAUCACUUUUCUAUUAUUUGCCCAAAGUCUUUGUAUAACUAUUACCUUGAAAUUUAUUAUGUUUUUUGGUGACAUUUAUGCAUGUAUUUGUUGCCAAUGUGUAUUUUUGUGACAUUUAUGCAUGGAUUUGAUGCCAAUGUGUUCUUUGUAAUGCUUCUCAGCUCCUAACAAAAUUCUCAACGUUUAAAACGCCCUUGGAAGGAAACGAAGUUGUGCAGAGCGACUUGAUCGUAUGGUUUUGAUGCUUGUUGGUUGUUCUUUCUUGCUUUUUUAGUGAUUCUGGUAGAUAUUGCUAAUAGAUCUUAUUGUAUUUGUACAUGACUGACAUGGUGAAUUUUAGAAAUCAAGAUGUCCAUGAAUGUCUUCAGUAACGUAAUUGUGUUCCACUACUAGUGCAAUAGCCUACUAUCGUAAUAGGAAAUGGAAGGAUAAAUUUUGUAUCACAACAGAGAAGAUUAUUGUUGAAUGUAGUGUUUAUGUACCAAUUUUUUUUUAAAUUUUUUUUUCAAGAACCAAAGUAAUUUGUUUGAGUAUGCAAAGAUUAAAAUAGAUUGUAAAGCUAUUUAACUGUUUGUGUCGUGCAAUUUAUAGGGUUCUCGUCUUAUGCAUGUGAAGGGGCUCAUUAUAAAAAGCCAUUUAUAAAUAAUUAAUUUUAAAUAGAUAAUAUUUGAAUAAUUAAUUUUAAAUGGUUAAUUUGAUCCUUCAAUGUUUAUGGAAGAUUUUUAAAUUUUUUUUAAACUCAUUUCAUUUAAUUUUUAAAUUACUUUACAUGAUCCUUAAGAAGGUCAAUUAAUGUUUUAUCAUGUUGAUUACAAGAGAGGAGUAUGCAAAGAUUUUAUUUUAAGGUCGAU